RNAcentral lists this ribosomal RNA (442 nucleotides) under uncultured bacterium. RNAcentral describes it as "bacterial SSU rRNA". It matches the Rfam family "Bacterial small subunit ribosomal RNA", at positions 343 to 797 of the family's 1533-position model. The record is from RNAcentral.
AGGAGGCAGCAGUGGGGAAUGUUGCACAAUGGGCGGAAGCCUGAUGCAGCGACGCCGCGUGAGGGAUGACGGCCUUCGGGUUGUAAACCUCUUUCAGCAGGGAAGAAGCGUGAGUGACGGUACCUGCAGAAGAAGCACCGGCUAACUACGUGCCAGCAGCCGCGGUAAUACGUAGGGUGCGAGCGUUGUCCGGAAUUAUUGGGCGUAAAGAGCUCGUAGGCGGCUUGUCGCGUCGGAUGUGAAAGCCCGGGGCUUAACUCCGGGUCUGCAUUCGAUACGGGCAGGCUAGAGUUCGGUAGGGGAGAUCGGAAUUCCUGGUGUAGCGGUGAAAUGCGCAGAUAUCAGGAGGAACACCGGUGGCGAAGGCGGAUCUCUGGGCCGAUACUGACGCUGAGGAGCGAAAGCGUGGGGAGCGAACAGGAUUAGAUACCCGAGUAGUCAA